CAGACACGUCAGUAGUUUGAUCCUGGCUCGAGGACGAACGCUGGCGGCGCGCCUAACACAUGCAAGUCGAACGGAGUUAUUGAGAGCUUGCUUUUGAUAACUUAGUGGCGGACGGGUGAGUAACACGUGAGCAACCUGUCCUUUUAGGUGGGGAAUAACGGCUGGAAACGGUCGCUAAUACCGCAUAAUGUAUUGAUAUGGCAUCAUAUUGAUACCAAAGAUUUAUCGCUAAAAGAUGGGCUCGCGUCCGAUUAGCUAGUUGGUGGGGUAAAGGCUCACCAAGGCGACGAUCGGUAGCCGGACUGAGAGGUUGAACGGCCACAUUGGGACUGAGACACGGCCCAG
This 345-nucleotide ribosomal RNA is filed under the name uncultured bacterium. RNAcentral describes it as "bacterial SSU rRNA". It matches the Rfam family "Bacterial small subunit ribosomal RNA", at positions 1 to 334 of the family's 1533-position model. The record is from RNAcentral.